CCUACGGGAGGCAGCAGUGAGGAAUAUUGGACAAUGGAUGGAAAUCUGAUCCAGCCAUGCCGCGUGCAGGAAGACGGCCCUAUGGGUUGUAAACUGCUUUUAUACGGGAGCAAUAAGGUCUACGUGUAGACUGAUGAGAGUACCGUAUGAAUAAGCAUCGGCUAACUCCGUGCCAGCAGCCGCGGUAAU
Molecule: ribosomal RNA, 189 nt
Filed under: uncultured bacterium
Lineage: Bacteria
Description: partial 16S ribosomal RNA
Rfam family: Bacterial small subunit ribosomal RNA
Source: RNAcentral